ACUCGGAUGUUUCUGGGGCGGAUGGGUUGAGGAGAGGACAGCAACAAGAAUAGAAUAGGGUAGUGGGUAAAGAAGGAGAGAGAGAGAGAGAGAGAGAGAGAAUGUGUUCAACGACGACUCAACCACAACAGGAACAAGGACCUGCCUGUGUAGGCUGUACAGCUGCCGCCACCGCGCCGGGAAGCCGCCCAAGGGGCCUAGCCCCUCCUGGUUCCCCCUACUCGACGAGCCGUUCUUCUACUCGCUGCCCAAGAAGUAGCUCCUCCUCCUCCUUCUCCUCCGCCUCCUCCACGACUGCCUCUCGAGGAGGUAGCCGCGGGGCAGCGGCAGCUCGAGGAGGUAGCCCCUCCUGAGGAGCAGCCUCCAACCGCCCCUUCCCCUCCUGCUCCUCCACCUCUCGUUCGAGUUCCUCCUCGGGCCCGAGCCGACGGACCUGCGGAACCUCCUGAGGAACGGGUAGUUCUUGCCCGACAGCUCGAAGAUGCGGCCUUUCAGUUUCAGGAAGUGGUCGGAGCGCCUCCGCCGCCGCGCCCUGCGGCACUUCCUCGAGCGGUUCGGCCUCUUGGGGAAGUUGUUCGCGGCGGCGUAGGACCGGUGGACCAGGGCCGCGCGGAGGACGUCGAGCGACCGCUGCCGGUGGAUGGACGGGGGCGAGGAGCGGGGCCUGGUGCGGGAGGGGCUCCCGCUGCUUCCGCUCCUCCUGCUGCUGAGGCUGAGGCCGAGGCUGCUCGUCGUGGCGCCGUUCUUGCCCACCCUCCGCGGCCGUAACGGCGGGGGCUCCGAGUCGCACUUGUGGGUCUACCCGCGUAGCCGCCGCUCCUCCCCGCCGUCGAAGUCCAGCGGCUCUAGCAUAAGUGACAGUCUGGAAGCUUUGCCGCCACUACGAUCAAUAUUAGUCAUCGACGCUUAAGCGUCGGUAACUAGACAGAACACAGGGCAUCUAGACAAUGAUGAUGAAUGAGGAAUUAAUAUAUAUUUGUACAUACUUGACGAGGCCACUUGACUUGGCUUGACUAGGUUGUGGGACCGGUAGUAAUUGAUUACUACUUGCUAGGAGCUCUAUUCUAAUCAAUCAAUUAAUUACCGUAGCGAGGACUAGGAAAGCGGGACAUGUUUGUAUAUAUAUGUUAAACAACUACGUUUAAACUAAACGACCUAUCCCCUAG
This 1166-nucleotide ribosomal RNA is filed under the name Triticum aestivum (bread wheat). Its description in RNAcentral is "partial small subunit ribosomal RNA". The record is from RNAcentral. Lineage: Eukaryota; Viridiplantae; Streptophyta; Magnoliopsida; Poales; Poaceae.